RNAcentral lists this unclassified non-coding RNA (1279 nucleotides) under Hevea brasiliensis (rubber tree). The record is from RNAcentral. Lineage: Eukaryota; Viridiplantae; Streptophyta; Magnoliopsida; Malpighiales; Euphorbiaceae.
CAUGGUUAAACCGCCUGAAUCCAUCAGGCAUUAGCAUUACUCAAUAUCUCAAAUUGAUGAAAAAAAAUGAUCCAAUCCAAUAACGUGGACCAUAUAUGUUCAGAGGAGAAUUUUGGGACUUAUUCGAAUAUAAUCUAUCCUAUAACUACAACCUCUUCUCAAAGAAAAAAGACAAGCUCGAGAAAUCCUCAAAAGGGUUGAGAAACAACAACCUUAACGAUAUAACACAGGGAAAACGGCGAGAGAAUUGACUCUCCCUCAAGCUUAAGCAUCGUCGAGAGCAAGGACGCCAGGAAGCGUUUUUCCUUCAAGAAGCUCUAAGCUGGCACCACCACCAGUGGAGAUGUGGCUCAUCUUAUCUGCAAGCCCAACCUUCUCAACAGCCGCAACAGAGUCGCCUCCUCCAAUUAUGGUGGUAACUCCCUUCCCACUCAGCUCUGCCAACUUCUUCGCAAUUGCCUCUGUUCCCGCCGCAAACUUGUCAAACUCAAACACUCCCAUAGGUCCAUUCCAAAUAAUGGUUUGGGUAGAAUCCAAAGCUUCACCAAAACUCUUGAUAGAAUCAGGUCCAAUAUCCAACCCCAUCCAGCCAUCUGGAAUACUUGAUGCUGCCACAACCUUGCUGUCAGCAUCAGCAGCAAAUUUAUCCGCUACCACUACGUCAGUUGGAAGCAAAAGAGAAACUCCCUUGGCUUUUGCCUUCUCAAUGAGUGAGGUGGCAAGGUCAAGCUUGUCUUCUUCAACAAGUGAUUUACCCACUGCGUGACCUUGUGCCUUGUAGAAGGUAAAGAUCAUUCCUCCACCCAGGAAAAGAAGGUUAACCUUUUCCAACAAGGAUUCAAUCACUCCAAUCUUUGAAGACACCUUCGAACCACCAACAAUGGCAGCAAAUGGUCUCUUGGGAUUAGACACAGCUCCGACCAAGUAGUCAAGUUCCUUCUGCAUAAGGAAACCAGCACCAGAAGGUUUCAAGUACUUAGCAACACCCUCCGUGGAAGCGUGGGCUCUGUGAGCAGUUCCAAAAGCAUCGUUAACAUAGAGAUCCGCGAGAGAAGCCAACUUUUUGGCAAACUCAGGGUCAUUCUUCUCUUCCUCCUUGUAAAACCUCACGUUUUCAAGCAGCAAGACACCUCCCUCGGGCAAUUCAGCGACCAACUUCUCAACUUCCUCGCCAAUACAAUCAUUAGCCAUUACCACCUGAAGUCCAAGGAGCUCAGAAAGCCUGGGAACAAGAGGCUUCAAACUGUAUUUUGGUGUUACACCCUUUGGACGUCCCAAA